This 493-nucleotide ribosomal RNA is filed under the name uncultured bacterium. Its description in RNAcentral is "partial 16S ribosomal RNA". It matches the Rfam family "Bacterial small subunit ribosomal RNA", at positions 28 to 507 of the family's 1533-position model. The record is from RNAcentral.
GACGAACGCUGGCGGCGCGCUUAACACAUGCAAGUCGAACGGAAAGGCCUGCUUUCCCUUGUGGAUUGCGGGUACUCGAGUGGCGAACGGGUGAGUAACACGUGAGUGAUCUGCCCCCAACUUGGGUAUAAGCCUGGGAAACUGGGUCUAAUUCCCGAUAGGACUGCAGGGUGGUGCCUGUGGUGGAAAACGAUUUUCUAGUGGUUGGGGAUGAGCUCGCGGCCUAUCAGCUUGUUGGUGGGGUAAUGGCCUACCAAGGCGGCGACGGGUAGCCGGCCUGAGAGGGUGGACGGCCACAUUGGGACUGAGAUACGGCCCAGACGCCUACGGGAGGCAGAGUGGGGAAUAUUGCACAAUGGGCGGAAGCCUGAUGCAGCGACGCCGCGUGGGGGAUGACGGCCUUCGGGUUGUAAACUCCUUUCGACCGCGAGGAAGCCACCUGGUUGGAAGGGUGGUGACGGUAGUGGUAGAAGAAGCACCGGCUAACUACGUG